Molecule: ribosomal RNA, 252 nt
Filed under: uncultured bacterium
Lineage: Bacteria
Description: partial 16S ribosomal RNA
Rfam family: Bacterial small subunit ribosomal RNA
Source: RNAcentral
UACGUAGGUCCCGAGCGUUGUCCGGAUUUAUUGGGCGUAAAGCGAGCGCAGGUGGUUUAUUAAGUCUGGUGUAGAAGGCAGUGGCUCAACCAUUGUAUGCAUUGAAAACUGGUAGACUUGAGUGCAGGAGAGGAGAGUGGAAUUCCAUGUGUAGCGGUGAAAUGCGUAGACAUAUGGAGGAACACCGGUGGCGAAAGCGGCUCUCUGGCCUGUAACUGACACUGAGGCUCGAAAGCGUGGGGAGCAAACAGG